UGGACUAUUACUUUUUAAAACUUGUCUUUAAAACUACCAGACUUAACCUUUAAAACAUUGUACUAUAGGUCCAAUCAUAUGAACCAAAUGUUCAGACAUACUAAUCUGAACUAGCCCUCAGGGCUAUCUGUAAUAAACCAGUGAUACUCUACCAAGUAACCUCCAUGCACUAUGCUCUGAAACAUAGAACCCACCCUGUAGGGUCAGCAUAUCAUAAGUUAACUUGGCUACCAUAGAGUCACAGGAAUCAAACCUGGUCUUCUCUAUUGGCCUCUCUAUGGAUCACAGGAAUCAAACCUGGUCUUUCCUCCGCACUGGUCUUGGGUCAAAGGAAGUAAUCCCUGUCUUCCCUCA
Molecule: long non-coding RNA, 354 nt
Filed under: Manihot esculenta (cassava)
Lineage: Eukaryota; Viridiplantae; Streptophyta; Magnoliopsida; Malpighiales; Euphorbiaceae
Description: long non-coding RNA (MESC_LNC000352)
Source: RNAcentral